AGUGAACGCUGGCGGUAGGCCUAACACAUGCAAGUCGAACGGCAGCACAGUAAGAGCUUGCUCUUACGGGUGGCGAGUGGCGGACGGGUGAGGAAUACAUCGGAAUCUACUUUUUCGUGGGGGAUAACGUAGGGAAACUUACGCUAAUACCGCAUACGACCUACGGGUGAAAGCAGGGGAUCUUCGGACCUUGCGCGAUUGAAUGAGCCGAUGUCGGAUUAGCUAGUUGGCGGGGUAAAGGCCCACCAAGGCGACGAUCCGUAGCUGGUCUGAGAGGAUGAUCAGCCACACGGGAACUGAGACACGGUCCAGACUCCUACGGGAGGAAGCAGUGGGGAAUAUUGGAAAAGGGGCGCAAGCCUGAUCCAGCCAUACCGCGUGGGUGAAGAAGGCCUUCGGGUUGUAAAGCCCUUUUGUUGGGAAAGAAAAGCAGCAGGUUAAUACCCCGCUGUUCUGACGGUACCCAAAGAAUAAGCACCGGCUAACUUC
Molecule: ribosomal RNA, 489 nt
Filed under: uncultured bacterium
Lineage: Bacteria
Description: partial 16S ribosomal RNA
Rfam family: Bacterial small subunit ribosomal RNA
Source: RNAcentral